UAUCCUAAAACCAUCGUACUUUGGAUCAAAAAAUAUGAGCCAUCACCUAACCCCCCAAUAGCUCUCUUGUUAGAAUCACCACCAGCUCUAGAACUGAAGCCACUUCCUGACGCACCUACUGACACCCUUCUAGUGAUCCCUAAUCAGAAAGCCCAACUUGUAGGUAUUCUAAAAGCAUAUAAAAAAGCUAUUGGAUGGGAUAUCUCUGAAAUGAGAGAUAAUGAUAUUGAGAUUUUUAUGAUUGAUUUCUCUAUUUUUAACACUACUUUCAAGGACUGUCUCCAAAAUCUUUCUAUGAUGUUAAAACAAUAUAUAG
Molecule: long non-coding RNA, 316 nt
Filed under: Elaeis guineensis (African oil palm)
Lineage: Eukaryota; Viridiplantae; Streptophyta; Magnoliopsida; Arecales; Arecaceae
Description: long non-coding RNA (EGUI_LNC073610)
Source: RNAcentral